AUGGUACUAGUAAAAUAAUUACACUGUCUUGUCGAGGCAGCAUUGCAAGUUAAAGCCCUGCGUGUCAUG
Molecule: transfer RNA, 69 nt
Filed under: Nematobrycon palmeri (emperor tetra)
Lineage: Eukaryota; Metazoa; Chordata; Actinopteri; Characiformes; Acestrorhamphidae
Also listed under: 1 other name
Description: tRNA-Asp
Source: RNAcentral